AAGGGUGAAAUCAUUUAUUGAUAUUUCAUUUACAAUGAAAUUGGGUGUUUAAAAUACACCACUCUUA
Molecule: transfer RNA, 67 nt
Filed under: Otobius lagophilus
Lineage: Eukaryota; Metazoa; Arthropoda; Arachnida; Ixodida; Argasidae
Description: tRNA-Val
Source: RNAcentral